CCAGGGGUUUGCCGUCUCUGUUAACCAGAAGAGAAAAAAAACCAACGAGUAUACGCUGACGAUGUAUUCGCGCAGUCGAGAGAGAAGAAAGGAAGAGCAGAGAGAGAACGGGAGCGUUGCCGGGAGGGUGUUCAACGGUGCCGCACCCUGGACGUCCAGGGACAUUCCUGUGCUUGCGGCGUGGAGCGUUCUGGGCCUCCUCGCCGGGCGUUGAGGACUGCGCGGGCGCCGUCGUCCGGUUGGGUCGCAGACCAGGGCAUGCUCGAAGUGGUGGGCGACUGGAGUCGCGUCUCGAGCCCAGGAAGUCGGCGGCGCGCUUCGGUAGAACUUGUGCGGCGUAACUCGGUAAGUUUCCCCUACGAAUCUUCGCUCCUCCUUAGCGUAGCCUCGAGUUGGGGGCGCGGCAAAUUGGAACGACGCGGGUUGCCACUUCGGCGUCGUGCGGUGUCGAGCUCGGGCUCACAUCUCAAUCCUUUCUAGAUUAGCGUGUCGCGCUUAGGGCUGCGGAGGGGCUGGCACAUUUGCCAGAAUCGCCGACGAUCCGAGCGUACGGGUCUGGGGUGCUCGCUCCGCUGUGGAACGACUGGAGGUUGACGACGACGCGUCCGUCGUUGGAUCCUGAAGGAGUGUGUGAGAUUUAUCCAAGGAAACGAUGAUCGUUGGUCGUUAGAUGUGAAUCGUAGGGCCACGAUCGCAUAGCAGGCGUACUGGUUCGACGUAAUCGGCUCAGGGCGUCGAUCUGCGGUUGAACGGCUCUGAUUUCUCCGCGUUAUCGAUCGUUGUGGACCACUGGUUAACAAUCCGAGGGCCCAGAAUACGUAUAGCCUCGUUGCCUUUGCAGUCUAAUCUUGGCACUUCGUUUGGGAUCGGACGGCUAGAUCUGUGCGGUAACGCUUCGCCGCAGAGAAAUUGCUAAAGAGACCUUGACAAACAUUUGAAUCAACCCGCCGUCCCUCGCGGUUGUACUUUGAGUCUUGCGGAUGUUUAUACCGGAGCCCCUGCACUCUUUAUAUAUUCUGCGCGCAGUCCAGACUGCAAAUAAAAUCAGAGAAAUUCAUUCUAAAUUCAUUUUUAAUACAAAAAUAAUGGUAGAAACUUGUAUAAAUCAUAGAAAAUGCAUACUGAAUCCUUUUUAGUUAAUUUCAGUUUCUAUAAUUUUAUAAUAUUAUUUUUAUCAUUUAAUACCACAGUUUUGACAUGAAAGUGACAUUAAAACUUAUAUCCCAUUUAAUCUUGUACAAAACACAUAGAAUCUUCAGAAAAUCAUAACUCCUCUGUUUUAACUCCGAUUUGAUUCAUUCAAAUUGCGUUAGUCUCGUAGCAACGCGUAGAUUAUUAUUAUUCAGUUUGUUCUUAUGUUGGGUGUGAUGUUAAUUUUAUCUAUACCAUGUUUGUUUGUAUUGCUACGACUAGCGCGAGGACACGUGUCAUCUAAAAAGCAAGC
RNAcentral lists this long non-coding RNA (1444 nucleotides) under Zea mays. RNAcentral's name for it is "long non-coding RNA (ZMAY_LNC004080)". The record is from RNAcentral. Lineage: Eukaryota; Viridiplantae; Streptophyta; Magnoliopsida; Poales; Poaceae.